This 546-nucleotide ribosomal RNA is filed under the name uncultured beta proteobacterium. Its description in RNAcentral is "partial 16S ribosomal RNA". Lineage: Bacteria; Pseudomonadati; Pseudomonadota; Betaproteobacteria. The record is from RNAcentral.
UCCAGGCGGGGAACUUCACGCGUUAGCUGCGGUACUAAAGAGGUUUACUUCCCCAACACCUAGUUGACAUCGUUUAGGGCGUGGACUACCAGGGUAUCUAAUCCUGUUUGCUACCCACGCUUUCGUGCAUGAGCGUCAGUGUUGACCCAGGGGGCUGCCUUCGCCAUCGGUGUUCCUCCACAUCUCUACGCAUUUCACUGCUACACGUGGAAUUCCACCCCCCUCUGCCACACUCAAGUCUUGCAGUCACAAACGCAGUUCCCAGGUUAAGCCCGGGGAUUUCACAUCUGACUUACAAAACCGCCUGCGCACGCUUUACGCCCAGUAAUUCCGAUUAACGCUCGCACCCUACGUAUUACCGCGGCUGCUGGCACGUAGUUAGCCGGUGCUUCUUCUUCAGGUACCGUCAUUGAUACAGGGUAUUAGCCCACACCAUUUCUUUCCUGCCGAAAGAGCUUUACAACCCGAAGGCCUUCUUCACUCACGCGGAAUGGCUGGAUCAGGGUUGCCCCCAUUGUCCAAAAUUCCCCACUGCUGCCUCCCGUA